AGUGAACGCUGGCGGUAGGCCUAACACAUGCAAGUCGAACGGCAGCACAGUAAGAGCUUGCUCUUACGGUGGCGAGUGGCGGACGGGUGAGGAAUACAUCGGAAUCUACUUUUUCGUGGGGGAUAACGUAGGGAAACUUACGCUAAUACCACAUACGACCUACGGGUGAAAGCAGGGGAUCUUCGUACCUUGCGCGAUUGAAUGAGCCGAUGUCGGAUUAGCUAGUUGGCGGGGUAAAGGCCCACCAAGGCGACGAUCCGUAGCUGGUCUGAGAGGAUGAUCAGCCACACUGGAACUGAGACACGGUCCAGACUCCUACGGGAGGCAGCAGUGGGGAAUAUUGGACAAUGGGCGCAAGCCUGAUCCAGCCAUACCGCGUGGGUGAAGAAGGCCUUCGGGUUGUAAAGCCCUUUUGUUGGGAAAGAAAAGCAGCAGGUUAAUACCCCGCUGUUCUGACGGUACCCAAAGAAUAAGCACCGGCUAACUUCGUG
RNAcentral lists this ribosomal RNA (491 nucleotides) under uncultured bacterium. RNAcentral describes it as "partial 16S ribosomal RNA". It matches the Rfam family "Bacterial small subunit ribosomal RNA", at positions 29 to 507 of the family's 1533-position model. The record is from RNAcentral.